RNAcentral lists this ribosomal RNA (708 nucleotides) under uncultured Acidimicrobiia bacterium. RNAcentral's name for it is "bacterial SSU rRNA". It matches the Rfam family "Bacterial small subunit ribosomal RNA", at positions 56 to 780 of the family's 1533-position model. Lineage: Bacteria; Bacillati; Actinomycetota; Acidimicrobiia. The record is from RNAcentral.
UGCAGUCGAACGCACUCGACCUUCGGGUCAUAUGAGUGAGUGGCGAACGGGUGAGUAACACGUGAGAAACCUGUCCCGAAGACUGGAAUAACCCGAGGAAACUCGGGCUAAUACCGGAUAUCCCCACCGGAUCACAUGGUCUGGUGAGGAAAUGCUCCGGCGCUUCGGGAGGGUCUCGCGGCCUAUCAGUUAGUUGGUGAGGUAACGGCUCACCAAGGCAUCGACGGGUAGCUGGUCUGAGAGGACGAUCAGCCACACUGGGACUGAGACACGGCCCAGACUCCUACGGGAGGCAGCAGUGGGGAAUCUUGCGCAAUGGGCGAAAGCCUGACGCAGCCACGCCGCGUGAGGGAUGAAGGCUUUCGGGUUGUAAACCUCUUUCAGCAGGGACGAAAAUGACGGUACCUGCAGAAGAAGCUCCGGCCAACUACGUGCCAGCAGCCGCGGUAACACGUAGGGAGCAAGCGUUGUCCGGAUUUAUUGGGCGUAAAGAGCUCGUAGGCGGUUCGGUAAGUCGGGUGUGAAAACUUGAGGCUCAACCUCAAGAGGCCACUCGAUACUGCUGUGACUGGAGUCCGGUAGAGGAGUGUGGAAUUCCUGGUGUAGCGGUGAAAUGCGCAGAUAUCAGGAGGAACACCGACAGCGAAGGCAGCACUCUGGGCCGGUACUGACGCUGAGGAGCGAAAGCAUGGGGAGCGAACAGGAUUA